AAGUAAAAGUCGUAACAAGGUUUCCGUAGGUGAACCUGCGGAAGGAUCAUUAUCGUACAAUGGAGGUGCUGGGGUUGUCGCUGACUUUUGAAAAUCGUCGUGCACACCUCGGUGCUCUUCACAUACAAUCCAUCUCACCCCUCUUGUGCAUCACCGCGUGGAGGCCCCUUUUGGCUAGUUCUAAGGGGGGUUUUCACGUUUUUAUACAUACACCAUUUUAAUGCAAUGCGUAGAAUGUCAUACUUUUGCGAUCACACGCAAUUAAUACAACUUCAACAACGAGUAUGUGAUUGCAGAAUUCAGUGAAUCAUCGAAUCUUUGAACGCACCUUGCGCCCUUUGGUAUUCCGAAGGGCACACCCGUUUGAGUGUCGUGACAUCCUCAAACCUUCUUGGUUUCUUGACCAGGAAGGCUUUGGACUCUGGAGGUUCUUUGCUGGCUUUACUUUGUUUGAAGCCAGCUCCUCUGAAAUGAAUUAGUGGGAUCUGCUUUGCGGAUCCUUGACGUGAUAAGAUAUUUCUACGUCUUGGAUCUUGCACUGUUCACUCUGGAUCCUGCUUCUAACCGUCUCAAUAGAAGACAAUGAAUGGGUCAAGUGAUUGCCACUUGGCCCACAAAACCUUGACCUCAAAUCGGGUGAGACUACCCGCUGAACUUAAGCAUAUCAAUUAAGCGGAGGAAG
This 682-nucleotide ribosomal RNA is filed under the name Russula unicalifornica. RNAcentral describes it as "eukaryotic LSU rRNA". The stretch from base 1 to 52 matches the Rfam family "Eukaryotic small subunit ribosomal RNA", at positions 1780 to 1831 of the family's 1831-position model. Lineage: Eukaryota; Fungi; Basidiomycota; Agaricomycetes; Russulales; Russulaceae. The record is from RNAcentral.